UCUCUGGUGGUUUAGUGGCUAAGACUCUGUGCUUUCACUACCAAGGGUCCAGGUUCAAUCCCUGGCUGGGGGA
Molecule: transfer RNA, 73 nt
Filed under: Ovis aries (sheep)
Lineage: Eukaryota; Metazoa; Chordata; Mammalia; Artiodactyla; Bovidae
Rfam family: tRNA
About the family: Transfer RNA (tRNA) molecules are approximately 80 nucleotides in length.
Source: Rfam by way of RNAcentral